Molecule: transfer RNA, 73 nt
Filed under: Felis catus (domestic cat)
Lineage: Eukaryota; Metazoa; Chordata; Mammalia; Carnivora; Felidae
Also listed under: 2 other names
Rfam family: tRNA
About the family: Transfer RNA (tRNA) molecules are approximately 80 nucleotides in length.
Source: Rfam by way of RNAcentral
GCCUGGCUGGCUUAGUUGGUAGAGCAUGUGACUCUUAAUCUCACUGUUGUGAGUUUGAGCCCCAUGCUAGGUG